RNAcentral lists this ribosomal RNA (277 nucleotides) under uncultured soil bacterium. Its description in RNAcentral is "partial 16S ribosomal RNA". It matches the Rfam family "Bacterial small subunit ribosomal RNA", at positions 26 to 285 of the family's 1533-position model. The record is from RNAcentral.
AGAAUCAACGCUGGCGGCGUGCCUCAGACAUGCAAGUCGAACGCGAAAGCCCCCCUUCGGGGGGCAAGUAGAGUGGCGCACGGGUGAGUAACACGUAGGUAAUCUACCUUCGGAUGGGGAAUAACAAUCGGAAACGGUUGCUAAUACCGCAUAAUGCAGCGGCACCUAAUGGUGACAGUUGUUAAAGCGGGGGAUCGAAAGACCUCGCGUCUGAAGAGGAGCCUGCGGCGGAUUAGCUAGUUGGUAGGGUAACGGCUUACCAAGGCAACGAUCCGUA